Molecule: ribosomal RNA, 821 nt
Filed under: Leotiomycetes sp.
Lineage: Eukaryota; Fungi; Ascomycota; Leotiomycetes
Description: eukaryotic LSU rRNA
Rfam family: Eukaryotic large subunit ribosomal RNA (bases 344-821)
Source: RNAcentral
UCUGAAUGUUAGUGAUGUCUGAGUACUAUAUAAUAGUUAAAACUUUCAACAACGGAUCUCUUGGUUCUGGCAUCGAUGAAGAACGCAGCGAAAUGCGAUAAGUAAUGUGAAUUGCAGAAUUCAGUGAAUCAUCGAAUCUUUGAACGCACAUUGCGCCCGGUGGUAUUCCGCCGGGCAUGCCUGUUCGAGCGUCAUUAUAACCAAUCAUGCCUGGCAUGGUGUUGGGGCACGCGGUCUCGCGGCCCUCAAAAUCAGUGGCGGUGCCGGUAGGCUCUAAGCGUAGUAAUUCUUCUCGCUACAGGGUCCUGCGGGUGGCUUGCCAGAACCCCCCAUUUUUUCAGGUUGACCUCGGAUCAGGUAGGGAUACCCGCUGAACUUAAGCAUAUCAAUAAGCGGAGGAAAAGAAACCAACAGGGAUUACCUCAGUAACGGCGAGUGAAGCGGUAACAGCUCAAAUUUGAAAGCUCCCCACAGGGCGCAUUGUAAUUUGUAGAGGAUGCUUUGGGGGUCGGCCCGGUUUAAGUUCCUUGGAACAGGACGUCAUAGAGGGUGAGAAUCCCGUAUGUGACCGGUGCUAGCCUUCGUGUAAAGCUCCUUCGACGAGUCGAGUUGUUUGGGAAUGCAGCUCAAAAUGGGUGGUAUAUUUCAUCUAAAGCUAAAUAUUGGCCAGAGACCGAUAGCGCACAAGUAGAGUGAUCGAAAGAUGAAAAGCACUUUGGAAAGAGAGUUAAACAGUACGUGAAAUUGUUGAAAGGGAAGCGCUUGCAAUCAGACUUGCGGGCGGUCGAUCAUCCGAGCUUCUGCCCGGUGCACUCGAUCGU